Molecule: ribosomal RNA, 253 nt
Filed under: uncultured bacterium
Lineage: Bacteria
Description: partial 16S ribosomal RNA
Rfam family: Bacterial small subunit ribosomal RNA
Source: RNAcentral
UACGUAGGGGGCUAGCGUUGUCCGGAAUCAUUGGGCGUAAAGCGCGUGUAGGCGGUCCGGUAAGUCCGCUGUGAAAGCCAGGGGCUCAACCCUUGGAUGCCGGUGGAUACUGUCGGGCUUGAGUACGGAAGAGGCGAGUGGAAUUCCUGGUGUAGCGGUGAAAUGCGCAGAUAUCAGGAGGAACACCAAUUGCGAAGGCAGCUCGCUGGGACGUUACUGACGCUGAGACGCGAAAGCGUGGGGAGCGAACAGG